UGCCAGACCACCCAGGCCUGUAUUCCUUCCACUUCGCCUGACUCUUCCUAGGCACCCAGCUCUCUACGUGGCAAAACAUGGAGCAAUGUGUCCCCAUCAGUGGGAAGGCAAAGGUACGGCCUUGGUGUGCUGGAUGGACCCUUGCAGAUGGCUCAGAGAGAAGGAAGCACGCGCUCUUCUUUCAUUACAGAGAGAAUCUCCUAAGGAGAGUUUUAAAAGACAGAAAGAAGUGAGGGGAAAGACGGCGUAGUCACAGGCUAGACUCAACACUUUGUGAAGAGAGGCUAGCUCAUACAGUUCCACUCUGGUGCAGCCCAGAACAUCCAGAGCAGUUCAUAGUACUGCUUUGAGGACCACAAGGCUGCAUCGUUGGCUGCCGUGACCUUCGACUCUGAUUCAAGCCUUGCUCUGGAUCUCUGAACAGACAAACUGCUACCUUCCCACCCCAAACACUCCAUAGUGCUUGACCAAAUCUGCUCACUCAGCUCCAAGGCAGGAGGUGACUCCAAGCUGGGAAGAAAGGGGGACAUGCCAUUUGGGCUUAUCAUGCUAAUCUUAUCCCUGACUCCCAGGAUAUCUGAAGAGGUGCAUUCAGUGUUUACACAGGCGUUUACAGCCUCCCAGGGAGGAAGGCGGGGCUAAUAAAGUUGGGCACUUUUCAGAGAUCCACGAGGCAAAGGAGCCUUUGGGUCAACAACUUGUCCACAUGGGGUUGCACCAUCUGCUUGUUUCCAUGCAUUCCUGGAGCUCCUAUCUCAUAAACAGCUGACAUUCGACUCCUUUGGCCCUGACACUGCUCCUUUCACUGGUGACCCUGUUGAUCAAUAACACAGAGCAACAUUGUUUGUUAACUCUCAACAAGGACCUCAUGAUCUUCGCUCCCGUAUUUUAUGUCCACCUCAUCAGCUUCCCUCAGCAGCCUGCAAAUGACCUGCAAAUGCUUUUCAAAGCAAUGGCAGAAAAUAGCUCAAAGAGUAUCUGAAAAUGAUUAACCCAAGGACAUUAAAGAGAGACCAACUCAUAAGAGAAAGAUGCCCUGCAGAGUACUGUGUCCAUUUAGGUAUAUUCAAUUGGAAAAAGUGGUUAGGAACAGAGCAUUUUAAUUGACUUCAUUUAAACUGGGAUGAUUCAAGGAUUAUAAACAAAAUUUUCUGUUUGCAGCACUAGCAUUCAAUUUAGAUUAAAUUGCCUGGUGAUUAAUUAAUUUAGGACAGUGCUCACCGAGAAAUUGCCAUCAAUACACAUCUGUCAAACCAAUUUGCCACAGACUGUCACACCUCUGGGGUAUGAACAAUACAAAUCUGGGGGAUACCCACUCAGUAAAUGGCCCCUUGCUCUUCCAAUUAAAAAUUCCAUGAUGGCCAAAUAUCACAAACUGUAGAUGGGAAAACCGAGCAUAGCUUCUCUAGCUAGCCAGCUCAAAGGUCCCAAGGAAUCCAUGUUAGCUGUUGGACAGCACGUUUGUUGAGAAGAGAGAGUUACAGAAACUGAGAGCAUAGAAACAUUGCCAGCCAACACCAGCAAGUGAUCACGGUGUGUUCGGAUCAUGUGUGUUCUGCUUUGUUCUGAGCACCACCUCCAGACUAGGUCAUUUUGUUCUACAGUAAUCCCU
RNAcentral lists this long non-coding RNA (1612 nucleotides) under Mus musculus (house mouse). RNAcentral's name for it is "long non-coding RNA chr3:28681332-28682944". Lineage: Eukaryota; Metazoa; Chordata; Mammalia; Rodentia; Muridae. The record is from RNAcentral.